AUACGGAGGGUCCAAGCGUUAUCCGGAAUCAUUGGGUUUAAAGGGUGCGCAGGCGGUUUAUUAAGUCAGUGGUGAAAUCUCGAGGCUCAACCUCGAAACUGCCAUUGAUACUGAUAAACUUGAGUUCAGUUGGAGUAGGCGGAAUGUGUAGUGUAGCGGUGAAAUGCUUAGAUAUUACACAGAACACCGAUAGCGAAGGCAGCUUACUAAACUGAUACUGACGCUGAGGCACGAAAGCGUGGGGAGCGAACGGGAUUAGAAACCCUAGUAGUCC
This 274-nucleotide ribosomal RNA is filed under the name uncultured bacterium. RNAcentral's name for it is "partial 16S ribosomal RNA". It matches the Rfam family "Bacterial small subunit ribosomal RNA", at positions 523 to 796 of the family's 1533-position model. The record is from RNAcentral.